Long non-coding RNA from Ruditapes philippinarum (Manila clam), 258 nucleotides. RefSeq lists it as uncharacterized. The record is from RefSeq and is a predicted model, not a curated record. The transcript has 3 exons. NCBI's taxonomy places the organism in Eukaryota, Metazoa, Mollusca, Bivalvia, Venerida, Veneridae.
UUUUCAGCGAACACUACCGGUGAAGAGUCAAUUUAUACAGUUUAUGAAGGACACGAAAUCAUGUUCCACAUCUCCACUUUAUUACCAUAUUCCACAGAAAACAAACAGCAGGUUGAAAGAAAGCGGCAUAUAGGUAACGAUAUAGUCAACAUAAUCUUUUGGGACGGUGAUACUAACAGUGCAUCAGUAUUUAAACCAAGUAUGAUGAAAACAAGAUUUACACACAUAUUUGCCUUGGUAAUUUACAACACAGAGACG